RNAcentral lists this long non-coding RNA (1438 nucleotides) under Naja naja (Indian cobra). RNAcentral's name for it is "lncRNA (ENSNNAG00000010370.1)". Lineage: Eukaryota; Metazoa; Chordata; Lepidosauria; Squamata; Elapidae. The record is from RNAcentral.
GAUAAAAAAUCCAAGAUCCUUUGACACAAUGGUUGUCUCCCAGUUGCAAGCCAGAUCAGAGAGCCAAGGUGGUGGCUCCUCAAGGAACAGUUGUAUUUCUCAUCCGGCUCCAGGAGAAGAGGACUCUGUGGUGACUUUUGAAGAGUGGAGUCUCCCAACUCAGGAUGACAAAGAAGAGGAGUCUCUCAAGGAAAUGGUCCUCUUCCACCUCUCGCCAACACAUCAGCCUCACCCAGAUGUCCAACCAACACACCUGGAGUCGGGGCUCUCAGAAGGUGGGGAGUCUCUGAUUGCUUGCUUUGAUACCGAUGACGAAUUGGACAACCAGCCUCCAUUGACCGACACUGUGGAGGAAUCGCCGUCGGUCGUUCCCUUAGCCGAGGAAUGGAUGGGCCAGAUUUGCCAAGGGUCCGUCAUCCCCAUGGCAUGGAACCCCGAAUCAUGCCCAGUUGAGCUGGAAGACCUGGAAGCCGCUGACAAUCACGAUUCUUCGAGUUUGGACAUUGGCACGCAGCUUGAAGUGUCUGAGAAAUGGCUGCUGGAGCUCCUCGACCAAGAUGGUGCCGCCAGAGGAUGUUCCACUGCACUGGAGCCCAUUGGAAACAGCGAGCUGUUGGAGACCUCUUCUGAGAAGGCAAGGCCCUUUGCGUCGCUCCUGGAAUCAAAGGGCACUCUUUUAGAACAACCCAAAGUUGUCCGAGCGGAAGCCGAGACAACCCAGGACAGCCUCAUUGUCUGUCUGGAGUCAGAAGACGAGCUGGAGGAAGCAUCAUCUCUUGACCAGAUCAGCAACGAGUACCGUGUGAUGGUGGCGGCCUUUUCUGAGGCAAAACCCGGCUCCCUCUCGGUGCUGAGCAACCUGACAGAGAAGCUCCUUGCCGAAGACAAUGGGGUCCAAGAAUCUCCUCUCUUCUCACAAGACGGGGAGGAAGCAGAUGAAUUGCAGAACUGGAGUUUAUGUGGAACGCAGAAUAGCUCAAUCGAUCCAGAAAUAGAGGACUACUCCGGACACUCUUCCAACGACGAAGUGGUGGUAGAUGACACCACAACACCUAAUCUUUCUGAACUCUGCUUGGAAAUUGGCAAAACUGAAGCACUCAAUGGAAGAGAGAAAAAGGGGACUGGUCAGCAGCAUACGGCCAUUGUAGCCUGUUACUCUCCACCCAGGAGAGUAACUUCCAUCCUCUCCACCCACCCAAACACCCCCAGGGGCCAAGACUACCUUGGAUGCUUCUAGCCAUUUCCAGACCACUCGCACCACACAAAACCCAGGAUUUCUGCAUGAAAAGCAAAAUAGAGUCAGCCAAAGGAGAGGCUGCCUUGCCGGGAGGUUGCCAGGAACUCUCUUCCCUCAGAAGACACAGGGAGAAAUUGGAGGGGGGUGUAAAAAAAGGGCCACCCCCCCCCACUGCCCUUGAGGCUGACCCAUUUGAUCCUU